RNAcentral lists this long non-coding RNA (22421 nucleotides) under Capsicum annuum. Its description in RNAcentral is "long non-coding RNA (CANN_LNC021666)". Lineage: Eukaryota; Viridiplantae; Streptophyta; Magnoliopsida; Solanales; Solanaceae. The record is from RNAcentral.
ACAUCAGCAAAAAAGGUUGGCAAAAUGUGCCACGUUAGCUAAAAAGGACGAUAAAAAUACGCUAAAAUUUAGUGCAGGAAAGUAAUAAGACUCUUGUGAAAUUGAAGUGUAUCGUAACAAAUUUGGGCAUAGCUCAGGGGUACUAGAUAUUUAAUAUAAGACGCCAAAUUUGAACUUGUCCUCAAAUAUAAGACGCCACUUUUGUCAUUUUCUCCCACAAAAUACAUAUCAGCAUUAUUUGCACCCUGUAUUUUUAUCAACCCAUUAAUGUCAAAUGUAUGUCUUGUAUAUACACUAUUUAGCACUUAAUCAUAAUUUUGUAAAAUAUAUUUUUACUAUAAAAUUUUGAUCUUUAAAGCACAGACACAUCGUCGAAGCGGGCGUUUGGAUAAAAAGCCUUUCAAUUUUUACUAAUUCUCUUCUUGUUGUACUAUGUACAUAGUGAUAGCCGUUCGGUGGCAGCUGUUGCUAAGAAAACACUUAAGAAUCGAGAUAGACCCAACUUGAUGGCCUUCACAGUAAUUUAGAAAUUAACAAAGUUAAUAAUGUGACCAAGUCCUUCGAAUUUACGGAGUGUCCUUAAGGAGUAAUUCCUCCUCACUUUACUCGAGGUUUUGGAAUCUUCCUCUCAGGAUAAAAUUGUCUUCAAUCCGAAUAAUAGCGGUACCUCAAAUUGUUGGAUUCAGCGAACUCACUCAACGGUUUGAUAGAUCACACAGAAAGUUUUUCAAGACAAGAAGAGAGUUUGUAUUUCAGAAAAUUUUACCUAAACCUGUGGAUGAAAGCAGGUUUAUAUAAGCCAACAUGUGCCUCUUCUGAAAAGUGGCAACUUUGUCCAAAAAGAUAGAUCUCAUCGAUCGACCAUUUUCCGAAUCCGAAUCCAAAUCCGAAUCUGAGCCGAGCGAGCGACGACGACGAUGGCGCGAGGCAUUUCUUAUUUCUUGCCUCACUUACCAUGUGGAGUAAGUAUUCCUUAUUUUAAACACUCACAAGUUUUCUUCUUCCACUAAUGUGGGAGAAAUAGUGAACUUUCCAAUUUGAGAGUACACUUUCUAAAUUAGUAUCUCCCUUCUCUCCACCAUUUUUCCUCCAUCUUUUCAUUCACACUUUUUCAUAUAUUUUGAACCCAACAAUCCCCCACAUGAAUGAGAAAUGACUAUUUCUUCGUAAAAUUUUUACGGACAAGUAUGUGAUCCUCAAGCAAAGACUGAUUGCAUAUUGAUAAGUGGGUUUUUCUUUGAACUUUCCGUACUGAACAUGCAUCCGAUGCACUCGGUUAAUCGGUAGAUUUGAUAUCCUUAAACCGUCGAGCUCUAGUAUACACCUAGACAACACAUGUCACACAACCACCCUUUUACCAUUUAUGGUUCUCACGUUUUUGUUCUUUUCAGCCAUGACCACGUCCCGAUUUUAUGAGAGCUUAGAGAAUAGGCCUUUACUAACAUUUUCCUUAAAGCGGCUUCCACUUCUCCCUCACAUAGGUGAUUUCUAUACGUUCAAUCUUAUAGAUUAAACUAUUUGGUCAAAUAUACCAAAUUUAGAUAAUCAUUAAAAGACUUUUCACCUUAAGUCUUAUCCUUGUUUACUAAACAUUGUCUAUAUCACGAGAAUGAGUUGGGUAAUUGAUAAUAUUGAACCUGUUAGACAUAACUUUGUUUGAUCUCCUUGAACCUAGCUAUUAGGAUCUCCAAUCUGAUAGGUAGAGUUACCGCCAUGCUGACUCGUCCUAGGCCUUAAACUCAUUCUCUUGAAUAUCCUUUUCACUCCUUCUCUAGAUAGGCCUUUUGUAAGUGGAUCCAACACAUUAUCCUUUGACUUUACAUAGUCAACAAAGAUAAUUCAACUAGAGAGAAGUUCCCUAACAGUAUUAUGUCUCCGUCAUAUGUGAUGAGAUUUACCGUUGUACAUCAUGCUCCCUACCCUACCUAUUGCCGCUUGGCUAUCACAGUGUAUACAUACUGGUGCCACUGGUUUGGGCCAAUAAGGAAUAUCUUCCAAAAAAUUCCAGAGCCAUUCUGCUUCUCCACCGGCUUUAUCCAAUGCGAUAUAUUCAGAUUCCAUUGCAGAGCGAGUAAUACAAGUCUAUUUGGAUGAUUUCCAAGAGAUUGCUCCUCCACCGAUAGUAAAUACAUAUCUACUUGUGAAUUUUAUUUCGUUCGAUCCGGUGAUCCAAUCUGAAUCGCUAUAUCCUUCAAGUACCGCAGGAUAUUUAUUAUAAUGCAAGGCAUAGUCUUGAGUGUAUUUAAGAUACCCCAAAACUCUUUUCAUUGCCAUCCAAUGAGUUUUGUUAGGAUUACUCGUGUACCGACUCAAUUUACUAAUAGCGCAUACUAUGUCUGGUCAUGUACAAUUCAUUAUAUACAUUAAACAUCCCAAUACUCUUGCGUACUCCAAUUGUGAGUUACUUACACCUACAUUCUUUUGAAGUGCAAAGCUCACAUCCAAAGGAGUCUUGGCAAUACUAAAUUUCAUAUACUUGAAUUUGUCAAGUACCUUUUUGUAACACCCCACAUUUCGGGUUAGAACGAAAAUCGUCAUUUCUAUGUGUAGACGAUCCAAAAGCAAUAAAUUCUAUGCAAAUAUGGCAUGUUAAUCAUUUUAGUAGUGUGGAAAAUUGAAUGAGCUUUCCGUCGAUAUAAGAUUUGCCCAAAUCCGAUAUACGGGUAAGAAGUUAUAGCUAAUUUAAGUCCUAGUUGUAAAACACCGUCAUUUUGGUGCUUGGCGCGUUGCGAAGGGAGUCUAUUUAACAAUUGUCAAAUUCCAGCUGCCUAGCGCGAUUGUGGCACGUUGCGCUGAAGUUCCAGGUCCCAACCAGUGGGACAACGCGAUGGCUCCGCGUCGCGGUGACCCUAAAAAUCCCAUUCGUCAAUUUCCAGUGAGCCACCGCGAUAGCGGCGCAUUGCGGUGGCCCAUUAAAUCGGACUCCCAGUUAUAUUUUAUUUCAUCUCAUUUAGGGUAUAUUGGGUAUUUUCCACCCCCUUAUCAGCCUAAACGUGGGAUUUAAUUCCAAAAAACUCCAGAAUACAUUCAUAAUCAUCCAAGUUACUCAAGAACACUCUCUAGAGUUUUAAACUAAAAACCCAAAUAACUCAAGAUUCAACCAUGAGUUUUUCUUAAUUCUUCAAUAUUCGGAAUCCCUAUUGCUAGAGCUUCAAGAAGCACCCAUCAAUUGUACGUAUAGCAUCCCAAAAGCUAGAGAUCAUUCAAAAGCUUCUAAUUUGAGGUACGUGGGGUUUGUCCUAAAAACUACAUGGGCUUGUAAACACUAGAUCAUGAUUUAAAUAUUAUCAAGCAUGAAUUUUAAAGGGAUUUUUUGGAAUCUAUGUUUUAAUUAUGCAUUAUAAAUGUUUUUAUGAUAUUGUUGAUUUGACCUUUAAGUCUUUUCCCCUUGAAUUGAUUUACAAGUAUAUGUAUAUGUAUGAAAAAUGAGAUUGAAGAUUAUUUGAGAGCACAUAUUAUGAAACCCCUCUCGUAUGUUGAAUUAAAGAUUAUGGUUUUAUCGAAAAAGAGUUGAAAUGCAUGCCUUGUGAUUUAAAAGUAGUUUUUUCAAUGUCAUAGCAAUUGAAAUAUGAUUUAGAAAUAAUGAGAGGGUGUUUCUUGAUGUUACUAUGAUGUUCUUGUGUUAAAGAGAAAGAAAUGCAUGUAAUUGAGAACUUUGACAUGACCACCUUGAAUUCUUGAAAUGUUGACAAAGAGAGUUUCUUGCAUAUGUUUACAUGAGCUUUAAGAAAGAGUUUCUUGAAAUGAUUUAUUGAUAUGGUGGUCCCAUAUUNNNNNNNNNNNNNNNNNNNNNNNNNNNNNNNNNNNNNNNNNNNNNNNNNNNNNNNNNNNNNNNNNNNNNNNNNNNNNNNNNNNNNNNNNNNNNNNNNNNNNNNNNNNNNNNNNNNNNNNNNNNNNNNNNNNNNNNNNNNNNNNNNNNNNNNNNNNNNNNNNNNNNNNNNNNNNNNNNNNNNNNNNNNNNNNNNNNNNNNNNNNNNNNNNNNNNNNNNNNNNNNNNNNNNNNNNNNNNNNNNNNNNNNNNNNNNNNNNNNNNNNNNNNNNNNNNNNNNNNNNNNNNNNNNNNNNNNNNNNNNNNNNNNNNNNNNNNNNNNNNNNNNNNNNNNNNNNNNNNNNNNNNNNNNNNNNNNNNNNNNNNNNNNNNNNNNNNNNNNNNNNNNNNNNNNNNNNNNNNNNNNNNNNNNNNNNNNNNNNNNNNNNNNNNNNNNNNNNNNNNNCCUAUGGUAUUUUAGAGUUGUAGGGUAUAACAGCUAGCGCAGAAGUAAAACAAAGAAUGUCUCAAAGUUCAGAUGAUUUUCUUUCAGAGUCUUUCAGAAAUGCCCAUGAGAUUUCUUACUAUAUGAUAUGUUUAUGAACUGUUUUAAAUUGCUCUCAUAUAUGUUGAAUAUAAAUUAUUAUUUUAGAUUUGCUCUACGUACCAGUACAUCUGUAUUGACCCCCUACCUCCCAGGUUUGGAGUCUCAGUCUAAGGGUCUGGCUAAUCAGUAGAGUAUUCCAGAGAGAAAUGAUCCGUGUAGUGGUGAGCCUUCUUUGUUCUAGAAGGCCUGUUAUUUCAAAUCAUGUUAUUAUGUUGUUUUGCUCUACUAGGGGCCUUGUCCCAGUUUUCAGAACAGUUUUGAGAUGUAGUGGAGAUUUCACAGACUAAGUCAGAUCUUAUUUAGAUGUUUUGAAUUGCAGUUUUCUUUCUUAUUUCUUGAAAUUCAGAGUUAAUGACCAUGUUUCCGUAUCAGAUUAUACUUUCGCAAUUUCUUUUAUGAUAUGAAUGUUGUGCAUGAUUACCAGAUCAGAUAGAGUAGGAUGUCCGGGCCUUCAUAGUUUGAGAUUUCCAUCACGGCCAGGCCCUAGUUUGGGUCGUGACACUUUUCGAUAUAGUGAGACUAUGACAAUGCCAACCCUUGUGGAGUUUUAUGGAUUCUUAUGCCUAAGAUCAAAUCCGCAACUCCAAGAUUUUUCAUAUCAAACUUUCUCUCGAGCAUUCGCUUCGUUGCAUUUAUGUUAGAAAUGUCUCUACUGGUGAUCAACAUAUCAUCCACAUAUAAACAAAGAAUGACUUGGUGAUUUGGAGUGUCUUUAAUAUAAACACAUUUAUCACAUUCAUUUAUCUUGAACCCGUUUACCAACAUGGUUUGGUCAAACUUCGCAUGUUGUUGUUUAGGUGCUUGCGUUAGUCCAUACAACGACAUAAUAAAUUUACACACCUUGUUCUCUUUUUCUGGAACCACAAAACCUUCAGGUUGUUCUAUGUAAAUUUCUUCCUCCAAUUAUCCGUUUAGGAAUGCAGUUUUCACAUCCAUUUGAUGGAUUUCAAGACCAUAUACCGCUGCCAAGGCAAUUAACAUUUGAAUCGAUGUUAUCCUUAUUACUGGGGAGUAUGUAUCAAAGUAAUCAAGACCUUCUUUUUGUUUGAAGCCUUUUACUACAAGUCUUGCCUUAUAUUUGCCAAUAGUACCAUCUGCUUUUAUUUUUCUUUUGAAGAUCUAUUUUGAACCUAAAGGUUUAUAUCCUGGAGGAAGAUCAACCAAUUCCAAUGUAUGGUUGCUUAAGAUUGAAUCAAUCUCACUAUUAACUGCUGCUUUCCAAAAAGAUGAGUCCGAAGUCGACAUCGCUUCUUUAAAUGUUUAAGACUCAUUUUCUAAGAGCAAUGUUACUAAAUCUGAACCAAACGAAGUUGACGUUGUUUGAUGUGUACUACGCCUUGAAUUUUAUUCAUCAUGUACAUUCUCACUUGGUUCAUCUCGAAUUCGUUUAGACUCCCCACUAGACUGUUCAUGUCUAGUUUUAUACGGAUAAAUGUUUUCAAAGAAUUCAGCAUUAUCUGAUUCAAUUAUCGUAUUUUCAUUAAUAUUCGGAUGUUUGGAUUUAUGAACCAAAAAUCGACAUGCUUAACUACUUUUAGCAUAUCCUAUGAACACACAGUCCACCGUCUUAGGUUAUAUCUUAACCCUUUUAGGCAUAGGAACUUGGACCUUUGCUAGACACCCCCAUACUUUGAAAUAUUUCAAGUUGGGUUUCCUUCCUUUGAGUAUAUGGUUGGCUGUAAGGAUAGCCUCCCCCCAAAAGUUUUGCGGUAAAUCGGAACUUAUAAGUAAGACAUUCAUCAUUUCCUUCAACUUUCAUUUUUUCCUUUCCGCAAUUUCGUUAGAUUGAGGUGAAUGCGGAGCCGUAGUUUGAUGGAAAAUUCCAUUCUCUACAUAUAUUUUGGGUUCUACAAUUUAGUGUGGCAUAGCACGAAUGAAGCCAAUCCAUCCCUAAGAUAGCAUCAAAAUCAAUCAUGUCUAAGUCUAUGAGGUCUGCCGCAGUAUCCCGCCCACAAACAGUCACUACACAAUUUAUAUACACCCUUCUAGCCACAAAAGUGUCUCCUACCGAAGUGAAAACACAAAAAGGUUCGGCAAUUACAUUGGGCUCAAACCCAAAAUCAACAGCCAUAUAAGGGGUCACAUAAGACAGGGUAGACCUGGGAUCAAGUAACACAUAAACAUCACGGAAAAAGAUUUGCAACGUACUAGUAACUACAUCCGGUGAGGCCUCUGCCUCUUGGCGGUUGGUCAAGGCGUACAACCGGUUGCGACCGUUUUUGGCGGCUGAAGUGGCACCCUUUUGAGGCGGUGGUGGUGCAUAAGAAUUAGCCUGUGACUUGGCUCCACCAACAUUACCCCUUGCUGCCGGACAUUCUCUCUGGAUAUGGCCUGGCUGGCUACACGAAUAACACACCAUAGCGCUAAACUGACAUCUCCCUGGAUGAUUUCUCCCACAUUUCUCACAGCGCCGGUAUGUCUGAGAGCUCUGAGCUAUACUUCCUUGAGACUAUGAACCCUGCAUCCUCGGCCCUUGCCUAUACUGAAAAUCCUGAGUGUGCUGUCCGGCUGGGGGUCUGUUCACCGGGGCACUGGCUGCAGACUGGGCAUUACCCCAAUUUUCCUUCUUCUUAUGCCAUUUGUUACCCCUAUUCCCACUCUGCUAUUGACUAUAGCUCUGGUCUGCUAUUUUGGAUCUCUUUGCCUGUUUGUCCUUCUCUCCAGAUUCAAUGAUUUUCUUUUUCUUUUCCUCAACUUGCUGCAUGUGGAUUGAUAGCCUGGCAAAAUCCAUGUCCCGAUUCAACAUUGCUCCCUGAUAUUCAAGCUCUAAGUCAUCUGAAAGGCCGGAUGAAAAUUUCCUAAUUCAGGCUCUUAUGUUACUAGUUAUCUCUGGAGCAUAACGGGCUAGUUGGUUGAACCUCAGAGUGUACUCCUGUACACUCAUCUUACACUGCUUUAGAUUCAUAAACUCUUUGGCUUUAGCCUCCCUCAGCUCGAGAGGAAAGAAUCGAUCAAGAAAGGUUUCCACGAACUCGGCCCAAACUGUGGGCUCAGCAUCUUCCCACUCAUUAUACUAUUAGUUCGCUACAUCCUUGAGCUGGUAAGCUACUAACUCAACUCCCUCUAUCUCAUCUACAUGCAUCACCUUAAAGAUCUUCUCCAUUUCGUCCACAAACUCCUGUGGAUCCUCUUCUACCUUGGUAUCUGUAAACUUGGGUGGGUUCAUCCUUAUGAACUGGCCCACUCUUGUAGCCUCAGACGUAACAGAUGCAAACCCAAUAUUUUCCAACCGUUGAGUCUAUAUGGCUACCAACUGCGCAAACAUGUGAAUGGACUGUCUGAAUUCUGCAUUAGAUACCUCUCUCUUAUGAGGUUGAGUAUGGUUUGUCCUCAUUUGGGAAGCUCUGGGUGCCCUAAGUGGGCUGGUCUGAGUAGGUCGGACUCUCGGAGUAGCAUUAAUCUCUGAAAUUUGAGCUCUAUUUCGAGUCCUCAUCCCAUGAGUGGGAAGGACCUUAUUUGUCUGUGCAUUCUGAUCGAUAGUACGAUGGGGAGGCAUGAUUGUUUUUCUGAAACACAAGAGAUCAUAGAUUAGGGGACAACUCAGACUCUGAAGCACGAACUAAACCACAAAGAAGAGAAAUAUUCCUAAAUGCCUAGUAGCCUCCUGCUUAUAAGUAUGGCGUGCUAAACACCCAUAAACAAGAUUCUACCCGACGCGAUUUUGCAGACACCCUGGGACCAUGAACCGUGCUCUGAUACCAAGUUUGUCAUGACCUAAACUAGGGCCUGGCCAUGGCGGAUAUCCCGAACCAUGAAGGCUCCAACGUCCUACUCUAUCUUGUAGUCAUGCACAACAUUCAUAUAAUAAAAAAAUAUGAGAAAAUGCAAUCUUAUACGGAAACAUGGUCAUUAACUCUGAGUUUCAAGACAUGAGAAUGAAAGUUACAAUUCAAAACAUCUGAAUAAGAUUUAACCUAGUCUGCAAAAUCUUUACUACAUCUCAAAACUGUUCUGAAAACUGGGCAAGGCCCCCAGUAGACCAAACCAAUGGAAUGACACAAUCUGAAAUAAUAGGCCUUCUGGAACACAGAAGGAUCACUACUGAUCAGAUCACUUCUCUCUGGAAUAUUCUACUGAUUAACCAGACCCUUGGACUGAGCCUCCGAACCUAGGAGAUAGGGGUCAAUACAGAUAUACUGGUAUGCAGAGCAGAUCCAAAGUACUAGUUUAUAUUCAACAUAUAUGAGAGCAAUUUAAAAUAGUUCAUAAACAUAUCAGAUAGUAAGAAAUCUCAUGGGUAUUUUUGAAAGACUCUGAAAAAUCAGCUAAACUCUGUGACACUCUUCGUUUUACUUCUACGCUAGGUGGUAUACCUUACAACUCUAAAAUUCCACGGGCUAUAUGGAAUCCGCCAUUGACUCGGUGGGGAAGCCCCCAACCCAAGUGUGCCGCAAGGGUUGGAGUCUCUGACUUUUCUAUGCCACACGGCUGUCGCCAGCGUAAAAAUAAUAUACCCGAAUCAACAAAUCACGGUUUUAGGUUAAGAGUUACUUGAACUCAAACCUUCUUCGGGUAACCACCUAACCCUCUUUAAGCCCAAUUUUAACUCUUUAAAACAUGCAUUCACUAAAAAUAUAUUUUGAAAACAUNNNNNNNNNNNNNNNNNNNNNNNNNNNNNNNNNNNNNNNNNNNNNNNNNNNNNNNNNNNNNNNNNNNNNNNNNNNNNNNNNNNNNNNNNNNNNNNNNNNNNNNNNNNNNNNNNNNNNNNNNNNNNNNNNNNNNNNNNNNNNNNNNNNNNNNNNNNNNNNNNNNNNNNNNNNNNNNNNNNNNNNNNNNNNNNNNNNNNNNUUAAUCUUAUGCCAAUCUUUCCCUUUUAACAAAAUAUAUUUACAUCAAGAAACUCCCUCUCUUAAACUCUCUAAAUCAUGCUCAAAAUAAUAUGGUAUUUGAGUAAACUAUUUUCAAGCCAUAAAUCAUGCAUUUGAAAUCCUUCACCUUAAGAUCAUAAACUUAAAGUCAUCACAAGAGAGGGAUUUCAUAUGUUAUGCUCUCAAACAAUCUUCAAUCUAAAAUUUUCAAACAUAUACAUAUACAUGUAAAUCAAUUUAAGGGGUAAAGGCCUAAAGACCAAAUCAACAAUACAAUUAAACAUUCAUAAUGCAAAAUAAAGUUAUAUAUUUCAAAACCCCUUUCUAAAUUUAUGCUUGAUAACCUUUAAAUCAUGUUCUAGUGUUUAUAAGCCCAUCUAGUUUUUAGGAUAAACUCCACGUACCUUAAUUUAGGAAUUUGAUGAAUGAUUCUUGAAGCCUAUGAUUUGGGGAUUCCAAAUCUUCAAUCAAUCUUGAAAACCCAUGUUUAAAUCUUGAGUUAUUUGGAUUUUUAGUUUGAAACCCUAGAGAGUGUUCUUGAGUAAUUUGGAUGAUUGUGAAUGUAUUCUGGUGUCUUUGGGAUUAAAUUCCGUGUUUAGGCUGAUAAGAGGGUGGAAAAUACCUAAUAUACCCUUAAUAAGAUGGAAUAAAAAUAUAACUGGGAGCCCAAUUACAUGGGCCACCACAACGUGCCACAAUUGCGGUGGCUCACUGGAAAUUGAUGAGUGGGAUUUUUAAGGUCACCGCGACACGGAGCCAUUGCAUUGUCCCACUGGUUGGGACCUGAAACUUCAGCGCGAUGCGCCACAAUCGCCCUAUGCUACUGGAAUUUGACAAUUUCUAAAUAGGAUCCCUCCGCGAUGCGCCAAGCUCCAAAAUGAUGGUGUUUUACGAUUAGAACUUAAAUUAACCAUAACUUCUUGCCCGGGUAUCGGAUUUGGCCGAAUCUUAUAUCGACAGAAAGCUCAUUCAAUUUUUCACAUGAUAAAAAGUAAAAUUAGGAAAAUUAUAUAUGGUUUAAACUUUACUCACUUUGGAAGUCAAAAAUGAGACUAAGUUUCUUUGACACAAUUCUAGCAUUUAACUCUAAGAGCAUAUUACCACGAGCUAAUGCAUGGAUGAUUUUUGUGGGGUGUUACUAGACACUUAUCCUUUGCUAAUUACAAUUUUUUUAUAAACGGUUACACAUUUGAAUCUGUUCUUGUCUAGAAGUGAAACAAAAAUUAAGUUCCUACAUAACUCUGGAACAUACAAGACAUUGUUAAGUGUCAAGACCUUUCCUGAAGUUAUUUUCAAGCCCACUUUUACUGUUCUUUCUACCUUAGCCGUAGUGGACUUAGUCAUGUAGAUCAUUUCUUCUACUUGAGCCGGAGCGGAUGACGAAAAUAACUCUUUGUUGGCACAAACAUGGUAGGUGGCACCAGGACCCAUCCACUAUUCACGAGGAUUUCCCACCAAGUUGCAUUCUGAGAAUAUAGGACACAGAUCAUCACUUUAUUUGUUGGACUCAACCAUAUUAGCUUGGUCCUUUUUCUUGCCUUUCAUUGGGGCACAACAAUCCGUAGACUUUUGGCCAAUAUUGCCACAAUUGUAGCAUUUUUCCUUGAAUUUCUUCUUGGUUUGGUUUCUUCCUUGUUCAACUUUCUUCCUUUUCUUAGAAUUAUUUUGAUCAUCUUAUACAAUAUGUGCUCUAUUAAUUUUAGAAUUCCCCUUUGACCUUCUCUUGCCAGCCUUAUUAUCCUCUUCAAUACGUAGUUAGACAAUAAGAUCUUCGACAGUCAUCUCCUUGCGUUUGUGCUUCAAGUAGUUUUUGAAAUCUUUCCACAUAGGUGGUAGCUUCUCAAUGAUCACUGCUACUUGAAAUGCAUCAUUCAUAAUCAAACCUACAAAACAGUUUAUGUGAGUACUAAGAACAUUUUUAAUUUGUUCAACUAAGGUAUUUUUCGAAGAUAUACCUUCCGCUAGGAGAUCAUGGAUGAUUACUUGCAAUUCCUGCACUUGAGAGACAACCGAUUUGCUAUCUAUCAUUUUAAAGUUUAGGAACCUUGCAACAAAGAAUUUCUUAACUCCCGCAUUCUCUGUCUUGUAUUUUCGUUCUAGUGCCCCCCGCAAUUCCUUUGAUGUCUUAAUUCCACUUUAAACAUUAUAGAGGUUGUCUUGGAGACCACUUAAGAUAAAAUUCCUGCAAAGAAAGUUCGAGUGUUUCCAAGCCUUUACAAUCAUGAAAUGCUCUUUGUCCGAGGUUGCACCUCAAGAGCAUCCUCACUAGUGAGCCUUUGAAGGCAUAGAGUGGUGAGGUAAAAGAACAUCUUUUGCUGUCAUCGCUUAAAGUCAAUGCCUGCAAAUUUCUCGAACUUUUCCACAGGUUCCAUUGGUUGCAGAACAUUUGCUCGACUUGUUGAGGCAAUACUAGUUGCCCCCACAGUCGUAGCCAUAUCUUGCAUUUGACUUUCGUUAGACAUUUUUUCUGUCACCACAAGACAAUAAAAUUUAGUAUUUUUAGAAUACUACUUAUAAAGUUAAGCAAAUUUAAACUCUUCUUCUUGUUUCUAGUUAACGAUGAAGUUUUUAUGACUUUCAAUCGUCAACCGAGUGAUCUUUAACUUGUGAUAAAGAUUUUAUGUCUUUGAAAGGUUAAAGGUUUAAUCUCCAAAAACAAUCAAUACAGAUUCUGCAAGGUUAUUCCUUAAGAUUGUUAUCUUUUAUGUAUUCUGGUACAAGAAUCUGUAUAUAAGAAAUACAAACAACACUAGUUCAAGUCCAAGUCAAGAACACUUAUAAAGUUCUUUAAAACUUUCAACACUAGAUUACAAAUAAUUUAUCUAAGAAGUGUGUUUAGAUUCAGAAAAGAGAUAAAACAUAAUUUAAGACCAAGUCCUCCGAAUUCACGGAGUGUCCUUAAGGAAUAAUUCCCCUCACUGUACCCGAGGUUUUGGAAUCUUCCUCCCAGGAUAAAAUGGCCUUCAAUCCGAACAAUAGCGAUACCUCAAAUUGUUGGAUUUGGUGAACUCACUCAACGGUUUGAUAGAUCACACAGAAAAUUUUUCAAGACAAGAAGAGAGUUUGUAUUUCAGAAGAUUCAUACCUAAACCUGUGGAUGAAAGCAGGUUUAUAUAGCCAACAUGUGCUUCUUUUGAAAAGUGGCAAUGGUUUACUUAAAAGGUGUGACCUUUCUGGAAAAGUCAUGUCUGUUCAUCUAAAGAAUGUGUAUUUUCCGAACAGGCAUACCAUUUCAUGAAUCAAUGUGUCAUUUCGUUGAAGGGUUGCAUCCCUUCGUUUUAGCACUGCACUGUCUCAAAACACUAUUUCGGAAGCUGCAUGCAUGCAUAUAAAUGGAGUAUCAAAACACAUAAAAAAGUUGUGUUUUUCCCUUUGGUAUUUUCGAACUGAAUUUCUGUCAAAUAAACUUUAUCCAAAAAGAUAGAUCUCAAUGAUUGGUCAUUUUCUAAAUCCAAAUCCGAAGUCGAAGCAAAAGCCGAAGCUGAAGCCUAAGCCGAAGCGGAUCCGAGCGAGCGACGGUGGCGACGGCGCGAGGCAUCUCUUAUUUGUUGCCUUGCUUACCAUGUGGAGUAAGUAUUCCUUAUUUUAAACACUCGCAAGUUCUCUUCUUCCACUAAUAUGGGAGAAAGAGUGAACUUUCUAAUUUGGGAGUACACUUUCUAAAUUAGUGUCUCCUUUCUCCCCACCAUUUUUUCUCUAUUUUUCAUUCACACUUUUUCAUAUACUUUGAACCCAAUAUUUACCAUACAUCAGAACGAAUCAAUUGAAAAGAACCGUAUCACUAGUUUAAUUGUUCGAGACAAGAAAGAUAAUCGACUUUUUGUUUUCCCAAAUAAAAAACUGUAAAGUUUAAUCAAGGAUCCAUCUAUAAUGAAUAUGAAUUGAAACUGCUAUUGCUUUUGUUGUAUUGAAAAUGAGUUGAUUAAUUACAACGUAUUACACUUGAGUAUUUAUAGACAAUCACAUUGUGUUCUUGAAGCUUCUAGUCUUCCUAACAAACUAACUCAACAUACUGCGACUGACCACAUGUAACAAUAUUAACUCUCAGUGAUCGACUCAAUGAAACAGUAACAACACUAAUGUAAUAGUGCAGUAACUACUCUGCAACUCUACUCUUACUUACAGGAAAGCUUAGCCUAGUUUGCUUAGCUAAGGGGCAGAUAUGACAAUUAUUCAAACCUUCUACAUCCUUGUCAUGCUGCAAGAUGUCCAAUAACUUCAAAACUUGAGCUGAUGGAUGACCAAGUCUUCUAUGCUAGAGGUUGUAAUCUUGCACAACUACUUAUGCUUCUGCUGUAUAUUUGUGAACCUGAGCUCGGGAGCUUUGUACUUUGUGUUCUACAUACUGUCUCUUGAGAACAUAUAAUCCACCUGUUUCCUUACCAAUCCCUUUCACCCUGCCAUUGUGAAGGUCCUGACAGACAUAGAAGUAAGGAUGAAAGGAAACAAAGCAUGAAAGUUGCCUAGUCAUUUUGGACACUAACAACAAGUUAAGUUUAAAGUCAGGCACAAACAACACAUCUUUCACAGUUCCAUCUCUAAACAUAUGUGCCUCUCCAGUAUGAGAUAUAUCCACCUUAGCACCAGUAGAAAGAUGUAUCUUAUCCUUUUUUGAUCCAUCUACUUUGUAAUAUUUUGACAGAAUAUUUUUACUUUCUGCAACAUGAUGUGUUGCACCAGAAACCACUAUCCAUUCCUGUGAUAUCUGAUGAAAUAGCGAACAAACAAAUUUACCUGUCAAGUUGUUGUGACUGGUAUCAAGUGUAUCCUUGUUCAGCAUGUCCAUGAUUUGUUUAUAUUCUCCAUCAGUGAAUGUUUUCCCCUUGGGUAAAAUAGCAUUGUGAACCUCCUUGUUGUUUACAUGACUAGUUGAAGCAGCUUAUCCUGCACCUCCAUAGAUCUUAUCACCAGUUAUAUUGUUGGUGGAAUGUUAAGUAUGCAUCUUUCCUCCAUAAUGAUGUCCAUGACUACCAUAUCCACCAUGUUUUCCAUAGAAUUGAUUGUUUCCUCCUUUAGAAUUAAAGCCUUGAUGUGAUCCUUCUGGUCCACCAUUGUAACUUUCCUUUUUCUGUUGCCUCCAAUCAUUAGAAUAGCCUAUAAAUAGCAAUUAUCUCUGGUGUGACCACUAAAAUGGUAGUAAUCAAAUAUUUUUCCUCUAUUGUUUUGUGAUCCAUAGUUUCUUACUUAGCUUCUACUCACUUGCAUUGUGAUUGGAUCAGUCUUUUCACCAAUGACAUUUACACAAGCCAGUUGCUGAAUUUCAUCCUUAGUUAUCAUUGCAUAAGCUUGAUUAAGUGUAGGUGUGAUUCCUUUUUACAAGAGCUGACUUCUUGCCUGAUCAAAUGACUCAUUCAGCCCACUCAAAAACUAUAUCAGUCUUUUCACCAAUGAUAUUUACACAAGCUAGUUGCUGAAUUUCAUCCUUAGUUAUUAUUGCAUAAGCUUGAUUAAGUGUAGGUGUGAUUCCUUUUAAUAGGAUCUGCCUUAUUUCCUGAUCAUAUGACUCAUUCAACCCACUCAAAAACCGUAUCAGUCUUAAUUCAUAAGUGAUCUGCAUAGUCUUUUGACUUUGGACAAACACAUGAUGGAGCGAAAAUUAUUGCAUCUAUUCACUCCACAGACUCUUUAAUUUUGUGAAAUAAGCUGGUACUGAAUUCGUACCCUAUGAAAUAGUAUUGAUCUUUCCAUGUAGUUGAUACUACCUCAUAUGAUUCACCCUAUCAUACCUCUCUUUCAGAUCUUCCCAUACUUCAGAUGCACUUGUUGCAUAGACGAUCCCACUGAGCGACUCUGCACUUACAGAAUUCAUAAUCUAUGAUAGUACUAUAGCAUUGCAUGUUUCCCAUUGAUCAUGUAACUCUUCUCUGUAUGUAUCUUUGCUACAUCUCCUUGUCACAAAUCCAUAUUUCCUCUUACCUAGAAGUGCAAUUCUCAUUAACCUACUCCAAACUCCAUAGUUCUCAGAUCCUACAAGUUCGAUUGGUAUCAAGGCAGCACCAGAUACAUCUGAUGCUCCUAUGAACAAGGGAUCACUAGGAUUUAUCUUAGGUGCCAUUCUUAAUCUCAAUAGAACUUCAAUAAUUAAGUGUAAAUGAUCAUAUAUAAUGCAACUACGAAACAAGAAAUUACUUCAAUACUUCAGAGUCUAAGAAGAAUAAACUCAGAACAUAGAUCGAAGGAAGAAAAAGAACUUCUACCACAAAUGUUAGCUGAGAACAGUGAUAAAAAACAGCCUCUAUCACCUUUUAUCGAAGGAGCCUCUUGUCACAAUGGAGAUUUAAACUCCAUGGAUUUCUUCUCUACUCCAUAAUCGAGCUGGAGCUUUGAUACCAUGUAAAGUUUACUCAAGGAUCCAUCUAUAAUGCAGAUGAAAUGAAACUGCUAUUGCUUUUGUUGUAUUGAAAAUGAGUUGAUUGAUUACAAUGUAUUAUAGUUGAGUAUUUAUAGACAAUCACAUUGUGCUCUAGAAGCUUCUAAUAUUCCUAAAAAACUAACUCAAUAUGUUGUGACUGACCACAUGUAACAAUAUCAACUCUCAGCGAUCAACUCAAUGAAACAAUAACAACACUAAUGUAACAGUGCAGUAACUACUCUGCAACUUAACUACUUAAUCCUGUAAAUUUAACAGCAAACAUUACAAGAAUUAUUAUCGAACGAAGAUGAACUAACAUUUUAAGCACAACACAUAUCAAUUGCUUAUCAACCUUUUUUUUUAAGCGAACACAUCAACUGCUUAUCAACUCAAUACUUUUAUUCAAAUGCGUAACUGCUUACUUAUAAAUUCUAUUUCAACACUACGAGCUUAUCCACUAUUUACAAUCAACUAACACAAAAGGGCUCUCGAUAUAAUAGUCCCAACCAAAAAAAAAAAAUAGUUUGAGUAAAGCAUCUAGUAUUCCCUAAACUAUGACCAAAUUUACUAUGGGACACUCCAACUUCACGGGGUUCUAUUACCCCGUUGGACUAAAUUUUAACAUAUUUUUGUCAACCUUUUUAGCUAAAGUGACACCUUUUGUCACUCUUUUUAACUGACGUAGCAACUUUGAUAUGGACCCCAUUUUAUGUAAUAAAGGUGCCAUGUUAGCACAAAAGGGUGACGAAAAUAUGCUUAAAUUGAGUUCAAGGGAUAAUAGGAUCCCUGUGAUGUUGAAGUUUAUCGUAACAACUUCUAGCUAUAGUUUGAAUGGACACUAGAGGUUUAUCUCAAAUAGUUUAUUGAAGAGAGUAAAAGAGCAUGACACAAGAAGGAUAAAGAGAAAAUGCCAAGAGGCUUGUCCAAAGUGGAUAUCUUGGGCUGAAUAAUGCAAGAAGCCCAAUUAUUGCACAAGCAACCAAAACUAUUACCACUUGUGCUGAAUAAUCCCAAGUUAAGUCCUUUGCACACACAAUAGCCAAUAGUGUUGUCAUGCCCAUGAUGUUGUUCAUGAUCACUCCACCAUAUAUCUGUUUGCCAAAUAGAUCCAAUAUUCAGCACAAGCAUAUUUUUUUUUCAUUUUAUUUUGAGAUAAGCAUCCAGUACCCCCGAACUAUAAUCAAAGUUGUUAAGACACACUCCAACUUCACAAGGCUAUUACCCCCGAACUCAAUUUUAGCAUAUUUUAGUCAUCCUUUUGUGCUGAUGUGACACCUUAAUUACAUAAAUGGGGCUCAAGUCAAACAUGUCGCGUCAGCUAAACAGGUUGACAAAAGGUGCCAUGUUAGCCAAAAAGGUUGACAAAAAUUUAGUUCUGGGAGGUAAUAGGCCCCGUGAAGUUGGAGUGUGUCGUAGUAAAUUUGGUCAUAGUUAAGAAGGUACUAGAUGCUUUACUCUUUUAUUUUUAGUUAAAGGAUAAUUUAUAGAACCAUUUCUGCUUCAUGUAGAUGCUAAGAUAUCUAUCACAGUUGGUGGAACAGGAUAUGAAGUUUAUUGAUUCUGAACUUGUUAUCGAAUCUAUAGCUUGUUUUAUUACUGGUUUCGCGAUUAGGUACUUAUACAUAUUGAUGAAUUUCCUAAUACAAGUACUGUGUUUAGGCAAAAGUUACUAUGUUCGUCUCAACCUGUACUUAUAACCUGUUUGGUCAAUCUUCUAAAAAGAUAAAAGUACUGCUUAGUUUCUUUAUAGUACCUUCGCAAAAACACUUUUGGAAUAUCGGCCAAGCAAAAUACUGUUGUUCUAAUAUCAUCAAAAAUGCUUUUCAAAUCGAUUAGCCAAAUACAAAUUACUACUCUCCGAAAGUACUUUUUCUGAAAGAAAAUACAUAGAUAAGAUACAACACCUUUAACUUAGCUCAACUGGCAACUAAACACCUCAGCUUUGAAAAUGCACAACUGAAAAGUCUGUAACUUAAGGUGUCUAGAUAUGUGCAACUUAAACCAAGUCAAUGGGUCUAGAUGCGUAUAUUCAAAGUUGGGGUGUUUAGUUGCCAGUUGAAUAGUACUCCUAACAAAAGGCAUUUUUCAGAAGAGAUAAAGCAUUCAUUACCCCCUCGAACUAUUGCCAAAGUUGCUACGACACACUUCAACUUUACAGGGGUCCUAUUAACCCCUACCCCACCCCCCACAACUCAAUUUUAGCGUAUUUUGACACCCUUUUGUGCUGAUCUGGCACCUUUACUACAUAAAAUGAGGUCCACGUCAAGGUGCCACAUCAGUUAAAAAGGUUCACAAAAGGUGCCACAUCAACACAAAAGGGUGGCAAAAAUAGGCUAAAAUUAAGUUCGGAGGGGUAAUAGGACCCCCGUGAAGUUGGAGUAUUUCGUAGCAAAUUUGGUCAUAGUUCAGAAGGUACUAGAUGCUUCACUCUUUUUAAAAUAAACAAAUUUUGAGAGCCUGACUAAAAACUGGCUAUUAUAAUACUGUAGCUCCACCCCUGGCCGUGACGAUUCUAGUUAUGAAAGAGAAAGAGAGAGUUAAACUUACCUCAGAGAAUGUCAAAGAAGAAGUUUUUGAGCUCUUCUGGCUAGCUGGAAAGAUUGCUGCUAGUGCCAUUCUUGCAUUUAGAGCCAAUGGUACUAUCACAAAAGGGAUGAGGAAAGAAGGCGUUCCAAUAGCUUCAGACAACUUUUCAAUACUUUUUACUAGUGGUUUUGCGCAAAAUGUCAGCAUUGCAAUUCCCAAAAUCACUUCAAAUAUAGACUUGUUAAAAUCCCAUGUCAACAACUUAUAGUUGAUCUUUCCAUCUUUUUCCACUUCAUACACCAAUUUUUCGACUUCACCCCACAUAAUCUACAGACAAUAAGACCACAUUAAGGCAACCGUAAGGAGGAAUCUUUACAUCGAAACUUUAGAAAGAAAAUGAAUGAAAUGAAGGAUAAACGUAUGUACAUAAGUAUUGAAUACGUAUCCAUAUUGUCUCUAUUAAAAAAAUUAGAAGAACUGCUGUGAAUUGACUCUACACUGAAGAGCGAAAAAUCAGUGAAAUUCUUGUUAUCUUUAAGAGAUAAGCAUCCAUUACCCGCUCGAACUAUGACUAAAGUUAGUAUGACACACUCCAACUUUACAGGAGUCUUAUUACCCCCUGAACUCUAUUUUAGCGUAUCUUAAUACCUUUUGUGCUGACGUGGCACCUUUGUUAUAUAAAAUGGGGCCCACAUAAAGGUGCAACGUCUGCUAAAAAGGUUAAUAAAAGAUGUCACGUCAGUAUAAAAGGGUGACAAAAAUAUGCUAAAAUUGAGUUCAGGGGGUAAUUGGUCCCCCGUAAAGUUGGAGUGUGUCGCAACAAAUUUGGUCAUAGUUCAAGGGUGUACUAGAUGCUUCACUCUAUCUUUAAUAAGUAAAAGCAGAAAAAACUAUAUAUAGGUCCUUAGUAGCAUUACCCAAGAAGAAGGAGGCGGAUAAAAGAACACGAAUAUUUAACUCUAUCGUAGUCCUUAGCAGAUAACCUUAGUCUACGAUAAUUAGUACAUCAGAAUAGAGGACAAUCAUACUUGUUCAAUAUAUCUCUUUCAACUUGGAUUCCAAAGAAACAAAAGAUUUGGUUACAAUUUUUCAUAUGAUCUCCUCUUAUAAAAAACAAACAAACAACAUACACAGUAUAAUCCACAAAUGGGGCCUCUGGAGGGUGAUCUUCUCUUAUAGAUAGACUAAAAGAUAAAAUAAAACAAAGUUUUUGUAUUCGUUCCGUGUUAUGGAGUUGUUCCCAUCAAUAUCAUACUGAUGGAAGAUUCUGCAACCAUUACAGGCAAAGAUGAGGAACAGAUAGGUCUAAGAUCUUUUUUUUCUCUUUAUUUGGUUGUGUUUGGUAUGACAGAAGUCAUUUUUCAGGAUAGUAUAUGUCCCAUGAGAAUGUCAUUUUUUUGUGUUUGAGUACUCAAAUGUAUUUUCUUAGGAAAGUAGCUCUUCGAUUUCUGUUACUACCUAUGGUUUCAUGUAGUUGGACUGUAGUAUUUUUUUCGCUAUUAUCUGUUGUUUUUGUUACUAUAUAGUGUUUCUUGUACUUUCAUUACAGUCCUUUUUAGAAUGUUUUUGUCUUGAUCCCGGGGACUAUUGGAAAUAACUUCUCUAACUCACCUCUGAGGUAGAGAAAUGGUCUGCAUACACACUACACUGGGUAUGUCGUUGUUGUACUUCCCUCACUUAUGUGUGUCGGAAGUCAAUCCUUUACGAUUAACUUAGUCUUUUAACUUCAUAUUACUUUUUACGACCAACGCUUAGACAUUAUUAGUAAUCUUUAGUGCUUCAAAGUUUCAUAAGAACAGUCUCCCGUUACACUUUUUAUGAAGGUAUAUUUUCUACUCAUCAACUAAACACUGGAUGAGUAUGAAAAAUGUCUUCCGUCAUACCAAACGCAAGUGAUCUUUUCUUAGGCAUUUCAUCUUAUCACGUGGAAGGAACUUACUCUUUUAUACGUUCAAUGUUGGGAGUUCCAUCGUCAUUGAGAAAGUGUUCAGCUUCUAAUGCUUGGCUUUCCACAUGCUUCAAGAUUUUUGCCAUUAGUUGCUCAAUUUCAGCUAUUUCAUCCCUUUGCUUCUUAGUAUACUGCUGAACAACCUGUUGAGAUAUGGAUAUGUUCUCAGAUGAAGUGGAAUAAGUUGCAAAGUAUCCACAGAAAACGUAGAAAAUAAUUAUACGAGACUCAAGAUUUGAAAACGACUGCGGCAUCACCACUAUAUUCUUUUCUUUUUAAAAAUAAAAUAAAACAGGACACCAUUAUCUUUAUAUAGUCAUAGCGAGAGAAAAUGAUCGAGCCUUUUUGAGGUAGGGUGGUGGCAGAGUGGGGUUUGAACCUAAGUCACCACACACAGACACAGAGGUGCUAAGCUAUGUUGCUCGGACUCUUCAAAAAUGUUGAUGGUUGCGUGUUGGAUCUUUCAAAAGUAGUGCAUUUUUGAAGGAUCAGGCAUGGGUGCGGCAACACUUUUGAAGAGUCCGAGCGACAUAGGUGCUAAGUAGCGAACAUGUUUCAAGGUGCCAAACGAUAUAUAUGAUCAUUUCAUAAGGUAUAUAUACUUAUAUAUCUAAAACUAACUAAAAUUAACGGGUCCGGUGACACCCUUCACGACCACCUACCUUCCAUAUAGGUCUGCACUGAGCGAUCACUAGGCAAAAAGGUAAGUUACAUGCUGUAACAGGUUAAAUUACAUAGAUAGCUUUUUACACUUACGUAAGGGGAAAAUGAGAGAUUUUAGAAGAUAUUACUGUAAGUUUUUGCUUGCCUCAUGCAAAAUCCUUCUGGUAGUAGAAUCAUCACUUUUAGCUAACAUCUUAGCUUCUUCUAUCCAUCUUUUACAUCCUCCAACAAACUCUUCCAAAUCGAUUUUCUUGUCAUUGUUAAGGUCAAAAGCCGUCGAUAUUUUGGAAAUAGCAUAAUUUUUGUCAACCUUAACUUUCCCAGAUUGCAUAUCAUUAACCAAAUUCUCCAACUCAACAAGGGUUAUGCUUUUGUUUGCGUCCUUAUCUAUCUCAGAAAAUAACCUGCAACGUUUAGAGUUAGUGCGAACUGUUGAGACAAUAAUAAGAUAAGCAUCCAGUAACCCCUUGAACUAUGACCAAAGUUGCUACGACACACUCCAGGGUUCUAUUAUUCUCUGAACUCAAUUUUAGCAUAUUUUUGUCACCCUUUUGAGCUGAUGUGACACCUUUAUAACAUAAAAAUGGAACCCACGUCAAAAGAGCCAAAUCAGCUAAAAAGGUGUUACGUCAGCUAAAAAGGGUGACAGAAAUACACUAACAUUGAGUUCAGGGGGUAGUAGGACCCUGUGAAGUUGGAGGAUAUCGUAGCAAAUUUGGUCAUAUUCAGAGGGUUUACUCAAAAAUAAUUAAACAAAUGAAAGUGUUCUCUGUCUAACAACUUAUGCAUUGAGAUGAGAUGGACACACACUUUAAUAUGGUAUCAGAAUAGGCAGAAGUCUUGGGAUUGAGUAUGUGUUUGACAUAUGAAAAAAAUGAAUAAGGUCUGCACGCGAAACUACCUUUCGAUGAUCUGAAUAUCAGGUCGCCCUUGUUCAUCAACGAGCAUCCCUCUAGCAUUCCGUUGCACAUGUUGGAGAAAAGCAGCUAGCAAAUUCUCAUAUUUCAAAUAUUCUAAACUUCUUUCUUGAAUCCAUGGAUCCCAAAGCUAUGAAAAAAAACUAGAAGUUUAAAAUCUUUAAUUCAAGAGUAAAGUAUCUAGUAACCCCCGAACUAUGGCCAAAUUUUCUACGACACACUCCAACUUUAUAGGGUCCUAUUACCCCCUGAAUUAAAUUUUAGCAUAUUUUUGCCAACCUUUUUAGUUGACGUGCGCCCCAUUUUUAUGUAAUAAAGGUGCCACGUCAACACAAAAGGGUGACAAAAAUAAGCUUAAAUUAAGUUCAGGGGUAAUAGGAUCCCUGUGAAGUUGGAGUGCAUCGUAACAACUUUGGCCAUAGUUCGGGGGAAACUGGAUGCUUAUCUCUUAAUUCAAUAAGAAUAAAGUCGCACAACAAACAAACAUCACAUAUGAAUGCAUUUAAAGUUAUCACAUCCCCUUAAGGUAUGGCCCUUCGCAGGACCCUAUAUGAAUUGCGGGAUGCUUCGUGCACCAGAUUGCGCUUUUUAUGUCAUACAAUGCUCAUAGAGUUUCAUGGAAAUAUUUUAUUCUUCACCGCGUUUGAUAUUCAUUCUAAAUUUUGAAUAAUUACCUGAUAAGUGAAGUACGACAGCAAAAAUGUGCCUGAUACUACAAGUGUAGUGAAGAUCACAAUACGUCUUGCAAAGUAUGCGUUGAAAGCAUUAACAAGCUCUACCAGAGCAAAUGGGAUCAACGAGAGAAGCAUGAUUCCCGCAGUGUAAUUAGUCUUUUUGUCAAUUGUAACACCG